RNAcentral lists this small nuclear RNA (299 nucleotides) under Rattus norvegicus (Norway rat). RNAcentral's name for it is "7SK RNA". It matches the Rfam family "7SK RNA". Rfam says of the family: 7SK was discovered as an abundant small nuclear RNA in the mid-70s but a possible function has only recently been suggested. Two independent studies have found that 7SK RNA binds the CDK9/cyclin T complex (known as elongation factor P-TEFb). Lineage: Eukaryota; Metazoa; Chordata; Mammalia; Rodentia; Muridae. The record is from Rfam by way of RNAcentral.
AGAUGUGAGGGUGAUCUGAAUGCAAAACGUCAUAAUGUUAUCAGGACUGAUUGCCUCACCUGGCUGCCUGUGAGAGUAGCCUCUGCCUCUCUUAUUGAUCCGUUUGCCUCCUGAAGCACAUGCUUGGUCAAAGAGCAUGCCUUCUUGAUAGGAGAGGACUGCUCUUUGGCCAGAUGUAUACUGUAGCUGAACUCCCCUGCUAGAAUAUUCUAAGAAGUUCUCAAUGGAAGUUUUAAAGAUGCCAGGGGAUGAGAAACACCUUACCUAUAUAGAUCAAAAACAGUAACCAUAUCCUCUUU